Molecule: ribosomal RNA, 497 nt
Filed under: uncultured bacterium
Lineage: Bacteria
Description: partial 16S ribosomal RNA
Rfam family: Bacterial small subunit ribosomal RNA
Source: RNAcentral
GAUGAACGCUGGCGGCGUGCCUAAUACAUGCAAGUCGAGCGAACAGACGGGGAGAUUGCUCCUCUGACGUUAGCGGCGGACGGGUGAGUAACACGUGGAUAACCUACCUAUAAGACUGGGAUAACUUCGGGAAACCGGAGCUAAUACCGGAUAAUAUAUUGAACCGCAUGGUCAAAUAGUGAAAGACGGUUUUGAUGUCACUUAUAGAUGGAUCCGCGCCGCAUUAGCUAGUUGGUAAGGUAACGGCUUACCAAGGCAACGAUGCGUAGCCGACCUGAGAGGGUGCUCGGCCACACUGGAACUGAGACACGGUCCAGACUCCUACGGGAGGCAACAGUAGGGAAUCUUCCGCCAUGGGCGCAAGCCUGACGGAGCAACGCCGCGUGCGUGAUGAAGGUCUUCGGAUCGUAAAACUCUGUUAUUCGGGACGACCAAAUGUGUAAGUAACUAUGCACGUCUUGACGGUACCUAAUCAGAAAGCCGCGGCUAACUACGUG